RNAcentral lists this ribosomal RNA (253 nucleotides) under uncultured bacterium. Its description in RNAcentral is "partial 16S ribosomal RNA". It matches the Rfam family "Bacterial small subunit ribosomal RNA", at positions 524 to 776 of the family's 1533-position model. The record is from RNAcentral.
UACAGAGGGUGCGAGCGUUAAUCGGAAUUACUGGGCGUAAAGCGCACGUAGGCGGCCAUGUAUGUCGAUUGUGAAAUCCCCGGGCUCAACCUGGGAACUGCAUUCGAAACUGCACGGCUGGAGUACGGAAGAGGAAGGCGGAAUUCCCGGUGUAGCGGUGAAAUGCGUAGAUAUCGGGAGGAACAUCAGUGGCGAAGGCGGCCUUCUGGUCCAGUACUGACGCUCAAGUGCGAAAGCGUGGGUAGCAAACAGG